AAAUUCAAAGCAUUUCACAAACCUUGAAAAAUGGUACAAUAAAAUUGUAAACAACACAAAUUUCUUCUUAUAAGUGUGUAAAAACUAAAUUUAUAUUUUCCAAAAUUUAAGGCAGCUAUCACAAUUUUGUAAUGGGCGAUGGCGGCUACAAUCCUUAUGAUAACCGCAAUGUGGAGAAGCCACUAUCAAAUUGUGAAGCUUUCAUGACAUUACUCAAGUGCGUUAUUGGCACUGGCAUUUUAUCCAUGCCCCUGGCCUUUAAGUAUUGUGGCACUGUUGGUGGCGUAGUAAUGACAAUUCUCUGUACUGCCGUAAUCAUUUAUGGAAUGCAACUACUGAUAAAGUGUAUGGUUGAAUCCAGCCGUCGCAAUGAGGUGGGCUAUAUGAAUUUCCCAGAAACAAUGGUGUUUUCCUUUAGUGUGGGCCCAAAGUGCUGUCGUUACAUAUCCAAAGGAGUCGGCGGUUUGGUGGAUAUUAUUUUGUGUAUCGCGCACUAUGGUUUUAACGUAGUGUAUCACGUAUUCGUUGCCAUACAUUUCAAGGAACUUUCAGACCUUUAUAUAACUAGCUCCGAUUUAAGAGUUGUUUGUGCUAUAGUUGGGCUUUUGUGCUUGCCCCUGUUUCUUGUGCGUCAGCUGAAGUAUCUUGUGCCCUUCUCGAUAAUUGCAAAUGUAUUGAUAUACUUAAGCCUCUGCGCCAUUUGCUAUUAUAUGAUUAGAGGCUUGCCCAACCUUGGUGAAAAGCGUAUGCUGCCCUUAAAUGCUUUAGAUGUCCCCAUAUUCGUGGGAAUCGUUAUGUUUGCCACGUCGUCUGUCGGUGUGAUGCUGGCUGUUGAGGCAAAAAUGGCUAAGCCUGCCCUAUACUUAGGUUGUCACGGUAUUUUGAGCUUGUGUGCUCUUGUCGUUUGCAUCACGAAUAUGAUUUUCGGAUUUCUUGGCUACUGGCGUUAUGGUGAUAAAAUAGCCGCUAGUGUUACCAUUAAUCUGCCCGCUCAGGAAAUCGUCGCGCAGCUUACUAAGUUGGGCAUUGCAAUUGCUGUCUAUUUUACCUAUCCUCUGAGUGGCUAUGUUCCCAUAGAGAUCAUCAUAAACCAUUAUCUGAAUAAAAAUAACCAACUGAAGCAUCCCCAUAUGAUUGAAUACAUACUCCGCAUUGCUUUCGUAAUUUUAGUUACAUUGAAUGCCAUUGCUUUUCCGAAUUUGGGUCCUCUCGUGGCGUUGGUUGGCGCUUUCUCUAUAUCCCUACUAAAUCUAAUAUUCCCAUGCUGUAUAGAAAUCUGCCUUUUAUAUAACGAUUCGUAUGGGAGACUUAUGUGGAAAUUAUUAAAAAACAUACUAAUGAUCAUAUUUGGGACUUUUGUCCUUUGUUAUGGCAGCUAUGGUGCCAUUAGGGAUAUGAUUCAACAUUAUAGUUUCAAAUGAGAAGCGAAAACAAAAACUGAUCCCGCCAGAUUAUCAUUUCGUCGGAUGGACAGUGUAUAUGUGGUGUUAAUGGGCACGAAUAUUAAGAAACUGGAAGCUUAUCAUCUGUUUUCAAUCGAGGAGAUCCUUGGGAAAGUUUGGUGUGCUGAAUCGGGCCAUGAUAUUUUUGCCUUUUUAGGCUAUUAACAGUUCGGUGAUGAGACGUCUAGUUUUAUAAUCGACAAUCUACCCACCGAUGAGACGUACGUGCCACUACUCCAAACAGUACAUUAUCGUUUCAUGUCAAUUUUUCAACAGCGUGCCACAAUAGCCACAUGUUUUAGCUAUAAUAUGACAAUCGUAUCUUCUCUUUUUUUUUAAGCUUUUCACAGAACGAUAUAAAAUGUAAU
This is an RNA transcript of Drosophila novamexicana, 1810 nucleotides long. It is a transcript of the gene named glutamate transporter polyphemus-like, with no coding region annotated. The record is from RefSeq and is a predicted model, not a curated record. The transcript has 8 exons. NCBI's taxonomy places the organism in Eukaryota, Metazoa, Arthropoda, Insecta, Diptera, Drosophilidae.